UGGAGAUACACUAUUCAUGAUUAUGCUGUUAUUAACUUGUUAUUAUUAUUGUUCAUGUUAAGAUCAUUAAAUUAAUGGGAACAUGGAGCGACCACCCGGGAAAACAGUGCUACCACAAGGGUAUAAUGGGACGCCCUUGGCUGACUAAUUAGGAAAGCUAGUGGAAGACUACCUUACCCGAAAGGGGCAAGGGCAGUAGGGGAGAGGUCAGUGCGGGGAGGUCCCUGGUUGAUUUUGCUGCGAUGGCUGUCAGCCAGGAACCCUGUACUGGAUCUUCCUAUAAACUGUAGCGGGUUUUCGGAAGCUAGUGGAACUUUGUAAAGGCCUCGUAGUGGAUCCCUAGCCAUUCACCUCGGUAGUGUCUAAGUGCCUUGCAAACCCAGGCGACAUGGGAUACACGACUUGUGGGUAAAGAUGCGCAACCUCUGCAGAGUGUAAAACUAGUAUACUAGCCGUGCUCACGGUCAAGAGCGGCUCGGACCCUCACAUGAUUAAUUAUGGAACUUAAAUUCAAUUUGACAUUUGCAUCGCAUUUGGGAUUAUUUUACUAUUACUGUUCUUUAUUAUUAUUAAGGUUUGGUAUUUACUUACACUUAGUAAUUGCUAAUAAAAUUUUGACCAACUUAUAAAAGCAAUGCUCAGCCUCAACCUCUAUUUCAUUGAUCAGCCUUACACUACAUGAACUCCCACCUUUGGUGAGUUCAUGCCACAUUAUUCCCCACAACUUGUUGAGCUAUGAACGUAUGUGAGCUCACUCUUGCUGUCUCACACCCCCCCCACAGGAGAAGAACAGGUUGUCGAAGAGGAGCCGCCUAACACUGAGGAGUUCGAUCUGAUCUAGGUGGCGUGUCUCGGUCGACAUUGGCGCCGACGAUCCUUAGUUCGCUUUAUCUUUAUUAUUUUAUUUUGUAAUAAGACUUCCGCUAUGUAAUAAGUACUCUGAUGUUUUAUGACAUUUAUCUCUAUACACUCUGUUAUUAUAUAUGUUGUCUUCUUGGCGCAUGUAUGAGAUGCACCCGGUUUUGUCCCUUUAAAACCGGGUGUUACAGAAGUGGUAUCAGAGGAAAUGUUGACUGUAGGACGAAACCUAGAUAGAUAUGGACAACCCUUACUUACUUACCUUACUCUGAUUCAUUCUGUACUUAUCUCAUCUUGAUCCUGUCUCACCUUCUACUGUUCUACUCUGAUCAUUCUUAUCUUUUCUACUCUAAGACAAGACGGAUUUCACACCUUGGAAUCCCUACCCCUAUGACAUUUUUAAGAGAUAGGAAGCCUAAGACAAAAUCAAAACUAUUUUCUAUAUUUAAAAAUGUUAUUUGAUUGUUCUGAUGAUCAAUGUCUGAUUUGCUUCUUUGAUUGAUUGAAAUAGUAUAGACGGGCAUCUUAGCAUGUACCACCAUAAGGUAAUGAAUUAGCUUUAGUAGGUAAAUCACCAAUCUGCUUAGCUAAUAAAUCCCCCAAAGUAACAUGCCUCGUAAUUACAUGCCUUGUCUACAAUCCUUUCUUUCGUACCCUGUGUUUCUAACCCAGAUGGGCUACCCCUAUAGUGUUAGAAGAGAGCACUAUAGACGUGAUCCUUGGUAUGUCAUGGUUAAGAAAGGCAAAGGCAGUUUGUACACUGUGCUAAAGGAACCAUAUAACUCACCAGUUCCAAAGGAGAAAGAUUUGAAGUUGGAAUUGCAGUAAUUACCGCCACCAGACUAGCGGCAUUCUUAGUAGAUGGGAAGUUUGUUGGUGACAACAUCCGUGUGGUUAAGGAUUUUUCGGAUGUCUUUCCAGAGGUGUUACGAGGGAUGCCACCAGAUAGGGAAGUUGAGUUUGUCAUUGAUCCCUUACCUGAGAUUGCCCCUUUUUUCAAAUGGCCAUACAGGAUGUCUGUAGAAGAAUUGAAGGAACUUAAGAAGCAGUUAACUGAGUUACAAGAUGCUGGGUACAUUCGUCCGAGUUCCUCACCUUGGGGAGCACCGGUCUUGUUUGUACAGAAGAAGGAUGGAUCGCAGCGGAUGUGUGUGGAUUAUAGAUCUCUUAAUGAUGUUACGGUGAAGAACAAGUAUCCAUUGCCCCGUAUUGAGGAUUUAUUUGAUCAGAUGAGAGGUGCAAGAGUAUUUUCGAAGAUUGAUCUCCGAUCGGGUUACCAUCAGAUGAGGAUUAGACCAUCGGAUAUUCCCAAGACGGCUUUCUCGACUCGAUAUGGAUUAUAUGAGUUUACUGUUAUGUCGUUUGGAUUAACCAAUGCACCAGCUUAUUUUAUGAACUUGAUGAACAAAGUGUUUAUGGAGUAUUUGGACAGAUUCGUCAUGGUAUUCAUCGACGAUAUUCUCAUUUAUUCUCAGAGUGAUAAUGAUCAUGAGGAACAUCUGAGGUUGGUGCUACAGAAGUUACGAGAUAAUCAACUCUAUGCUAAGUUCAGCAAGUGCGAGUUUUGGAUUGACAGGGUGCCAUUCCUUGGUCAUAUUAUUUCUAAUGGAGGAAUAGCUGUGGAUCCUGCUAAAGUAAAGGAGAUAAUGGAGUGGAGAGUGCCCACUACAGUUACGGAGAUUCGGAGUUUCUUGGGACUCGCAGGAUAUUAUCGGAGAUUUAUUGAAGGAUUUUCUAAGAUUGCUAAGCCCAUGACAUCGCUUUUGGAGAAAGGAAGAGAAUUUAAGUGGGAUGAGAAAUGCCAAGAGAGUUUUGAUCAAUUGAAGGAGAGAUUGAUGUCACCUCCAGUAUUGAUUAUGCCAGAUCUGCAGAAGGGAUUUGACAUUUACUGUGAUGCAUGUGGCCAAGGACUUGGAUGUGUGCUCAUGCAAGAAGGACAUGUGAUUGCCUAUGCAUCUCGUCAGUUGCGGAAGCAUGAAUUGAACUACCCCACCCAUGACUUAGAGUUGGCUGCCGUUGUGCAUGCACUUAAGAUUUGGAGACACUACAUUAUGGGAACUAAGUGCCAAGUAUACACGGACCAUAAGAGUUUGAAGUAUAUAUUCACUCAGAAGGAUCUCAACCUGAGGCAACGCCGUUGGUUGGAGCUCAUUAAGGAUUAUGACUUGGAGAUUCACUAUCACCCAGGCAAGGCGAAUUUGGUUGCAGAUGCCUUGAGUCGGAAGGAGCAUGUUCACUCCGCUUUCGUUGUCCAGCUACCUGAUGAAUUAGCAAAGGAUUUUGAGAGGCUCAACCUGGGAAUUGUUACACAUACGGAAGGAGUUACUAUUGAAUUGGAACCUACCUUGGAGCAAGAAAUUCGUAAAGGUCAGGUUGGUGAUGCCAAAAUCCAGGAGAUCAAGGAUCUGAUAACAGAGGGUAGAGGCCCAGAGUUCACAGAGGAUGAGCAAGGCACGAUAUGGUUCAAGAAUCGGAUCUGUGUUCCCGAUAUCGAUAGUCUUCGGGAAACCAUAUUGAAGGAGGCACAUGAUUCAGUUUAUUCUAUCCACCCUGGGAGCACUAAGAUGUAUCAGGAUUUAAAGCAAAAGUAUUGGUGGUAUGGACUAAAGAGAGAUGUGGCUGCACAUGUGGCUAUGUGCGAUGUGUGUCGAAGAGUUAAGGCUGAACACCAGAGGCCAGCCGGACUACUGCACCCACUAAAGAUACCUGAGUGGAAAUGGGAAGAGAUUGGCAUGGACUUCAUUGUUGGAUUACCCCGCACGUCUGCUGGUUAUGAUUCUAUAUGGGUGAUUGUGGACAGGCUAACCAAGGUAGCCCACUUUAUUCCAGUAAAGACCACGUAUUCAGGAGCCAAGUUAGCAGAGUUGUACAUGGCACGGAUUGUCUACCUACAUGGUGUGCCAAAGAAGAUUGUGUCAGACCGGGGACCACAGUUUACCUCUCGAUAUUGGAAGAAGUUGCACGAGUCAUUGGAUACGAGAUUGAAUUUUAGUUCGGCUUACCAUCCACAGACUGAUGGGCAGACUGAGAGGACUAACCAAGUACUGGAAGAUAUGUUAAGAGCUUGUGCUCUUAAGCAUGGUGGUAGUUGGGAUAAGAGUCUACCGUAUGCGGAGUUCUCAUAUAAUAAUAGCUAUCAGGCCAGCUUGAAGAUGUCACCGUUUGAGGCUUUGUAUGGCAGAAAGUGCAGGACUCCCUUGUAUUGGAAUCAAACUGGUGAAAGGCAGUUGUUUGGACCUGAGAUUAUACAAGAAGCAGAGGAACAAGUUCAGCAAAUAAGGGAGAAUUUGAGAACUGCACAAUCCAGGCAGAAAAGUUAUGCUGAUACCCGGAGAAGACUGCUUGAGUUUAAAGAGGGAGAUUAUGUCUAUUUGAAGGUGUCACCACUCCGGGGCAUGAGAAGGUUCAAAGUCAAAGGAAAGUUGUCCCCUCGCUUUAUUGGACCCUUCUUAAUCUUAAAGCGAGUGGGAGAGGUUGCAUACCAAUUGGAGUUACCGGAUCAUCUCGUGGAUGUUCACGAUGUCUUUCAUGUAUCUCAGCUGAAGAAAUGUCUCAGGGUGCCUGAAGAACAGUUACCAAUGGAGGACCUUAGUGUUCAAGAGGAUUUGACUUAUGCUGAGUACCCCGUCAAGAUUUUAGAUACUUUGACUCGAGUUACGAGGAAUAAGGUCAUAAAGAUGUGCAAAGUGCAGUGGAGUCACCACGGUCAAGAUGAAGCAACGUGGGAAAGAGAAGAAGAGCUUCGUAUAGAUUUUCCCCACCUUUUCUCUAGAUCUUCUUAAAUCUCGAGGACGAGAUUAUUUGUAAGGGGGGUAGGAUUUGUAACACCCACUUUGUAAUUGCUAGGAAUAUUACCAGUAGAGGAACAACUUCUCUUUAUGUGAGUUUGAUCUUUAUGCAUCAUCAUAUGUGAACACCAUGUCCAAAAACAAUUAAUAAAGAAAGAUGCUACUAAAUCAUUGCAUCAUGCUGAAUAUUUUAUUUGUGUGUGCAUUCUUGUGAUAAUAUCAUAAUAAUGCAAAAAAAAAGAAAUAGGUGAAUAUCCAAAUGGGGAUUUAAAUCCUAAAUAAUCCUAGAAUUAAGAAAAGAGAGAAGGAGGAGGAUUAUACAAAAUAGAGGAAAAUAAAUGUAUGAAAGAAUAUAUUUUGUCCCCACUAAUAUUUUAAUUUAAGAACUUAACUCAGUUAAGAAGCUCAAAAACAAGUUUGAAUUCAAAUUAGUAUUAAAAUUUGAAUUUGUGAAAGAAGGGAGAAAGAAGAAAAUAUAAAAGAAAAAGGAAAAGGAAUACUAUACCUGAUGGGCCGCCAACCUGGAAUUCGGCCCACUAUCUAUUCUGACCCGCGCGCCCACCAGGCAUCACGACGCCGACAACAAGGGCCCACCCGUCAGCCAAACUCCGCGCGCGUAGCUCCUCUGUUGCGCUGACAGCUUGGACCCAGUGGUCGGUCACCCUGGGAUCGGUAACAGCUCGCGCGAGAUCCAUGGCGGGGAGCGCGCACCGAUCGGGCGAAGCUCGGACCCCGUCCAACCACCCUAGCCCUCGAUCCAACCCCGGUCGACCACAUAAAGCUCCUUCUCCCACCGGUCCGCGCAACUCGUCGCCCAUAUCGUGUGCCACCAUCGCCGUGAGCAGAGAGAAGAGAGAGUGACCCGCCGUAGGCGAAUCCGGGCGUGCCGACGACCGUGCUCGGGGUAAGGAACCCAGGGGCUCCUUUCGGACGUGUUGAAGGUGGCCGCAACCGAAUUUCAGAAGACAAGCCACCGGCGGCACCGGAAUUUGUCGCCGUCGACUCAACACCGCCGCAGACUCGCAAUCCGUCGUGGUCAGCUCGGUGUCCACCACCAUCCUCGGUGAGUUCUCCUUCCCAUGUUUCGCUUGAAUCUCUAGCACGUUUAGAGUAGCUCGGAAUUGGCCUAGGUGCGUUAGUUCGCGUGGCCACUGCCGAUGGCAUGGGCGCCGCCGCGGCACGCCGGGGGCCGGGUCCUACACUCGACCUCAGCCAAAAUUAGUUGUAGCAUUGAGUUCUGGGAGUCAUCAAUUGUACGUGGGAUGAGUGAAUCGGGUUAUGGCGUUCGUACUGGCCGGAUUCGGGAUCUCCGGCGGGCGGACCGCCGUGAACGGGCGCGCGCCGCCGUGCUCCUCCAUCGGAGGUAGGAGAUGGCCUUUGGUCCGUUGGAUCGUGAACAGAGGGCUACGAUUAGAUCGGGUGUACCGCUUCGGUGCGUGAAAUCGGGACCGUUAGAUCGCGAUCGGGUGGUGCAGGUGAGAUCGGAGCGCAUUAAAUCCACACCGUCGAAUCUGGAUCCUGUGCCCCUGAUUGCUUACCGAUUCGCAGCGUGCUUAUCUAAUCUGGGCCGUUCGGAUCUAAUCCAACGGCCGAGACUCGCCCGUACCCCUUCGCGGGUCAACUUUUCUAAAGAGACCCUCACCUCUCUGGAAAUCAACCCGCAGUCCAUUGGCCACUGUUCACUGAGUCUAGAAUUUUAUUCGCGCAGACCCCUGCACUUCUCAGUAUUUGACGCCCAGUCCAGUGAUCGUUUUAAUUGAAUAAAUAAAAUAGAAAAUAGAUUUUUAAUAUGAAAAUAAUUGCUAGAACUUUGAUAAUUCAUAGAAAAUUCAUAUGAGCUCCAAAUUGGUCCAUUCCAGUUCCUAAAUUUUUGUAAUAAUAUUGUCUGCGCAUUUGUGCCUCUGUUUUGGCAUGAAAGGCUCAUUUAAAUUUAUCUAAUACUUAAUCUUGUAUUAAAUACAUAAAAGCUACAUAAAUUCAUAACUUGAAAUAUAUAACUCCAAAUUUAGUGAUUCCAGUCCCUAUGGUUUCAUUUUGAUAUGUAGAUUUUUACUGCAUAUUUUAUUUACAUGCUUGGUGUGAUGUUGAUUUUGGCUAUACUAUGUAUGUAUUGUGUUGAUGCGAGUAGACGAGCAAGCCACUGUGGAAACUGAGGUUCAACAAGUAGAAGUAGCUGAGCAGGAGCUCAUUGAAGGCAAGUUGUGCCCUUGAUCACUUACUUUCCCAGCCAUGUUCUUAUUAAUUUUAAUGAUCUGCAUAGGAUAAUUUUGAUGGGAGCCUUUAUGUUACCCCAGUUUUGAUUACCUCUAUACCUUGUUCACCCCUGAAAUAUUUUUGGGUAGUACUUGCUAUUGCUUUAUGUGGAUUGGGUAUGGAGAUACACUAUUCAUGAUUAUGCUGUUAUUAACUUGUUAUUAUUAUUGUUCAUGUUAAGAUCAUUAAAUUAAUGGGAACAUGGAGCGACCACCCGGGAAAACAGUGCUACCACAAGGGUAUAAUGGGACGCCCUUGGCUGACUAAUUAGGAAAGCUAGUGGAAGACUACCUUACCCGAAAGGGGCAAGGGCAGUAAGGGAGAGGUCAGUGUGGGGAGGUCCCUGGUUGAUUUUGCUGCGAUGGCUGUCAGCCAGGAACCCUGUACUGGAUCUUCCUAUAAACUGUAGCGGGUUUUCGGAAGCUAGUGGAACUUUGUAAAGGCCUCGUAGUGGAUCCCUAGCCAUUCACCUCGGUAGUGUCUAAGGGCCUUGCAAACCCAGGCGACAUGGGAUACACGACUUGUGGGUAAAGAUGCGCAACCUCUGCAGAGUGUAAAACUAGUAUACUAGCCGUGCUCACGGUCAAGAGCGGCUCGGACCCUCACAUGAUUAAUUAUGGAACUUAAAUUCAAUUUGACAUUUGCAUCGCAUUUGGGAU
RNAcentral lists this long non-coding RNA (7558 nucleotides) under Zea mays. RNAcentral's name for it is "long non-coding RNA (ZMAY_LNC003555)". The record is from RNAcentral. Lineage: Eukaryota; Viridiplantae; Streptophyta; Magnoliopsida; Poales; Poaceae.